Molecule: ribosomal RNA, 429 nt
Filed under: uncultured bacterium
Lineage: Bacteria
Description: bacterial SSU rRNA
Rfam family: Bacterial small subunit ribosomal RNA
Source: RNAcentral
UGGGGAAUUUUGGACAAUGGGCGCAAGCCUGAUCCAGCCAUGCCGCGUGAGUGAAGAAGGCCUUCGGGUUGUAAAGCUCUUUCAGCCGGAAAGAAAACGCACGGGUUAAUAACCUGUGUGGAUGACGGUACCGGAAGAAGAAGCACCGGCUAACUACGUGCCAGCAGCCGCGGUAAUACGUAGGGUGCGAGCGUUAAUCGGAAUUACUGGGCGUAAAGCGUGCGCAGGCGGUUUUGUAAGACAGAUGUGAAAUCCCCGGGCUUAACCUGGGAACUGCAUUUGUGACUGCAAGGCUAGAGUACGGCAGAGGGGGGUAGAAUUCCACGUGUAGCAGUGAAAUGCGUAGAUAUGUGGAGGAAUACCGAUGGCGAAGGCAGCCCCCUGGGUCGAUACUGACGCUCAUGCACGAAAGCGUGGGGAGCAAACAGG